CGGGGGUUGCCAUAAAUGUCUCGGAGUUGUUGAUGAUUCUAACCGCGGUGUGGCGCUGCGGCACGAGGCAAGAUACUAGUGGGAGCUUUUUGGCAGCUAGCGGCCAGUGUAAGGUCCAACCCCCGAACCGAACGGUCAUCCGAAUCUAGCGAACGAACGUAAAGGUAGCAGUAAAAGCAGGUGUAGAGCGACAAGAUGGACGCGCGAUUCAGGAGCAACCUCGCCAUGAUUGGGCGCAAUGAGCCCAUCACCAGGAAAGCCAAAUUCUGGCAGAGCUACGUGCGCGCCCUCAAGGGUACCGACGACAUGAGAGCCCCCGAACAUACCCACAGACCACGAGGCAUCUUCCGUUCUGACUUCCCGGAGCUCCACUCCUCAUCGUGGCCCUACGGAAAAUCCAUCUUCGAGAAUCCUCUUCACGCCGCCGACCGCAUCAAUGUACCCGGAUACAGAUAUCUUCCGGUACAUCGCGAGAUCUACGGCUACUCUCCGAGACAACUGUAUCCCCAUCAGUACAAACCUGUCGAGCGCUUCCACGCGGAACCCUACGACUCUACGAAAGCGUGGAACGACCAUUUAGACCGAUUGGCCGAUAUCGACAGGCUUUACCCAAGCCCCGAACCGCUGCUCUCGCGCCACAGGAGCCCCGCACUCACCAAACCACUGUUCGACCUUCACGGCAAUCUACUCGACGAUCUAUCGCCAACGAGAUGGCCCUCAUUCCUCUCUAAAAAAACCCUGAACGACAUGCUCGAGCCCACACCGAGUGCACCGGUCAGCGCAUUCACCAGAGACCCCUGGUGGUAUCCGUGCAUGGCCCCUUACAUACCGAGCUAUGCUCAGUGGAGCACCCCUUUCUAUCUAAGGGACAGCUAUCUCAGCCCGGUUAAGCGUAAUUACCUCUGGAGCCGACACCCUCUCAGGCCUUUCGAAUCGGAGUACGAUCGUUUUGCGAGAACGUUUUUGUAGAGCAAAACCUAUGCGAACUAAAGCAAGGGCUCUUGAUAACAUGGAAAAAAUUACGUUUACUAUUCGCAGCCCGUUCCACGAUUUCACUUUACCAAGCCGUGGUACAAUUAUUGAAAACGAAACCCACGUACGUUAGAGACACUGGAAUCUCGGUCGAGCGCGAGAAUUCACCAAGAGGACGGAAUCAUCGAAAUCGAAACUGAAGAAAAAUAUAAUAAAGAAAGAAUAUUUACACGCGUCUUUAAAUACAUGAAAUAAAAAAGUAACUAAAUGAACCCUCGACAAAUUUGAAAACACUUGAGCCCGUUGUUACAAACGGCCUUGCACACUAAAAUAUUCAACAAUUUCAAGAAUACACAUCAACCCAUUUUUUUCAACUAUUCAAUCAUUUGCGUGUAUAAGGUAUUAUUACAAAAAAGAAUGAAACAAUAAAACAAAAAAGUACCACAUA
This is an RNA transcript of Venturia canescens, 1420 nucleotides long. It is a transcript of the gene named myofilin, with no coding region annotated. The transcript has 9 exons. Lineage: Eukaryota; Metazoa; Arthropoda; Insecta; Hymenoptera; Ichneumonidae. The record is from RefSeq and is a predicted model, not a curated record.